AACCUGCCGGCUCCCAUCCCACAACGUAGAGCUACUUCCGGUGGGGCUCCGUCACUCAAAUGGAGAAGAACCAGCACCAACAUGGGAGGCUUCCCAUGUUACAUAAGGAUCAACAGGAGAAGCCGGGCAGCAGAGGCUCGUGUGAUAAGAGAGGCAGGAAGCAAGAGCUUCCAUGGGAAUGGCGUGGUUUCAUCUCCUGGCUUCCGGAGUAUCCCUAUGGGGCACGUAUUCUAGGAACUCUACUGAAUCCAGUCUCUGGAUUUCAAAUACCAUGGAAUGGAGAUGACUGAGAGAAGAAGGUAUAGGAAAUAAGAGUUCAAAUAUAUUCAGUCCUUAUGUUCAGUCAUAAAAAUACUGAGACUUUUGAGACUGUGCUGAUAUAUACAUGAUAAACAUGAAAACAAUACCAUUUGCUCAUUUGACAACAUAUGGUAGCUGACCCACUUCUGCCCAGCCUUGUAAUUGGGUUGUGUAUUAUUAUCUGCAGUAGCUCCUAAAUGUUUCAGAUUUCUUGAGAAUAACAAGCAAUGAACCCAAAAGGCCUGAGGCCCAUUGAAAUUAGUGCAAAUGCUCUUCUGAGCCAUAACAACACUUUCAGAAACUUGCAAAUAUAACAUAAUCUUCCCUUAAGCACUGCAGUGAAAAGUUAGUGUUGAUCCUUUCUUUUAUGUUCUUCAAAUAAUUGCUUAAUGCUUGCUCUUAUUACAUGCAGCUUGCUAGGAGAGAACAUGAUAAAGAUCAUUUAUCACUCCUGUCAAUAACACAAAAAAAUUCUUCAGCAGACAAUAAAACAUGAAUACAUAGCUUGCAAUGCAGGUAGUGGUUUAUGUGAAUAAUUUUACAGAAUGGCAGUCCAAUCAAACUGCCUUUCAAACCCUUGAGAUAAAUCAGACAAAAAGGGAAACAUUUUUAUGAUUAUAAUAAUCCUCAUUUGGUAACAUUCUAUAAAAACCCAGAGGCUGACAAACAUAGAUUUUCAUUGUAAAGCUUUCUGCUGAAUUUUUAAAAUGGUCGCGACCAAAGCACAAUUGUUUUCAAGCACUUUACAUACAAACCAGCACAUAAGUGGUUGUGUGUUUGCAUAUGCUCUUACCAGUGUAAAGGUGAUAGCAGAAAAAUAGGAAUAAAAUCUACUCCACAGAACUUCACACAGAAAAUAUAACUAUUUCAUUCAUCUAUAGUAGUUUG
This 1188-nucleotide long non-coding RNA is filed under the name Anolis carolinensis (green anole). Its description in RNAcentral is "lncRNA (ENSACAG00000032952.2)". Lineage: Eukaryota; Metazoa; Chordata; Lepidosauria; Squamata; Anolidae. The record is from RNAcentral.